Molecule: small nuclear RNA, 107 nt
Filed under: Tursiops truncatus (common bottlenose dolphin)
Lineage: Eukaryota; Metazoa; Chordata; Mammalia; Artiodactyla; Delphinidae
Source: RNAcentral
GUGCUUGCUUCGGCAGCACAUAUACUAAAAUUGGAACGAUACAGAGAAGAUUAGCAUGGCCCCUGCACAAGGAUGACACCCAAAUUCGUGAAGCAUUCCAUAUUUUU